RNAcentral lists this ribosomal RNA (253 nucleotides) under uncultured bacterium. RNAcentral's name for it is "partial 16S ribosomal RNA". It matches the Rfam family "Bacterial small subunit ribosomal RNA", at positions 524 to 776 of the family's 1533-position model. The record is from RNAcentral.
UACGGAGGGUGCAAGCGUUAUCCGGAAUCACUGGGUUUAAAGGGUACGCAGGCGGUUUUGUAAGUCUGACGUGAAAGCUUGUGGCUUAACCAUGAAAUUGCGUUGGAUACUGCAUAACUAGAAUACGAUCGAAGUGGAUGGAAUGCGUCAUGUAGCGGUGAAAUGCAUAGAUAUGACGUAGAACACCAAAAGCGAAGGCAGUUCACUAGGUCGAUAUUGACGCUGAGGUACGAAAGCGUGGGUAGCGAACAGG